This 19-nucleotide ribosomal RNA is filed under the name Fusarium sp. r316. Its description in RNAcentral is "partial 28S ribosomal RNA". The record is from RNAcentral. Lineage: Eukaryota; Fungi; Ascomycota; Sordariomycetes; Hypocreales; Nectriaceae.
UUGACCUCGAAUCAGGAGA